UUUUACUGAUUAAUGACGUAAAAAUGGCCCUGAAGUCUCCGUGUUCGUCAACGUCGUCGGUCAGCUCUGACUUGGAAGGUGGACAGGGUUUGCCACAGCGUAUUACAGAGUCCACCCCACAACCCUCUCCCACAGCCCUCCCCCCACCGAAAGCAGUAUCCACAGAACAGGUGGAAAUAUCUCCUGGAUCUAAUGUAUUUAUUGACAGACUGGCUUGGGCUGUGGCCCAGAAUGCAAACUCUGCCUCCUGACAGCAGUGUUCCCAAUUGAUGUGCUCCUUGUGAGCAAUCUUCGAGGAACAUCCAGGGAUUCUGGGCCACAACGUCAGGCUCUUGACAAAAUGAAAGUGGAUGCUAUCUACAGAGCAACAUUGCAAAAGUGGCCUCAUGUGGUGCCCUCCAGCAUUGGUGCAGCCAUCAAUGCCAAACUUACUGAAAUUAGAGGAAAGAAGGAAGAAAGAAAAAAUCCGGAAACCUUAAUGCUCUUUGAUGACUGAUGGCCAUGACCUUGUGUGUUUACUGUUCAAGGUAUUUUGUUGUUGCUUUUUUGUUUUUUUUUCCUGAGCAAUGUUCUGUUUGAUAUCAUGUUGAAAUUCUAAAUUACUCAUGUGGAUUAUAAUUUCAUUGUCACUGAGUUGAAA
Onychostoma macrolepis is the source of this 640-nucleotide long non-coding RNA. RefSeq lists it as uncharacterized. The record is from RefSeq and is a predicted model, not a curated record. NCBI's taxonomy places the organism in Eukaryota, Metazoa, Chordata, Actinopteri, Cypriniformes, Cyprinidae. The transcript has 3 exons.